CCUACGGGAGGCAGCAGUGGGGAAUCUUGCGCAAUGGGCGAAAGCCUGACGCAGCCAUGCCGCGUGAAUGAUGAAGGUCUUAGGAUUGUAAAAUUCUUUCACCGGGGACGAUAAUGACGGUACCCGGAGAAGAAGCCCCGGCUAACUUCGUGCCAGCAGCCGCGGUAAUACGAAGGGGGCUAGCGUUGCUCGGAAUUACUGGGCGUAAAGGGAGCGUAGGCGGAUAGUUUAGUCAGAGGUGAAAGCCCAGGGCUCAACCUUGGAAUUGCCUUUGAUACUGGCUAUCUUGAGUAUGGGAGAGGUUAGCGGAACUCCGAGUGUAGAGGUGAAAUUCGUAGAUAUUCGGAAGAACACCAGUGGCGAAGGCGGCUAACUGGCCCAUUACUGACGCUGAGGCUCGAAAGCGUGGGGAGCAAACAGGAUUAGAUACCCUGGUAGUCCACGCCGUAAACGAUGAGUGCUAGUUGUCGGCAUGCAUGCAUGUCGGUGACGCAGCUAACGCAUUAAGCACUCCGCCUGGGGAGUACGGUCGCAAGAUUAAAACUUAAAUGAAUUGACGG
RNAcentral lists this ribosomal RNA (560 nucleotides) under uncultured bacterium. RNAcentral describes it as "bacterial SSU rRNA". It matches the Rfam family "Bacterial small subunit ribosomal RNA", at positions 338 to 916 of the family's 1533-position model. The record is from RNAcentral.